UAGGGAAUCUUCCACAAUGGACGCAAGUCUGAUGGAGCAACACCGCGUGAGUGAAGAAGGGUUUCGGCUCGUAAAGCUCUGUUGUUAAAGAAGAACACGUAUGAGAGUAACUGUUCAUACGUUGACGGUAUUUAACCAGAAAGUCACGGCUAACUACGUUCCAG
RNAcentral lists this ribosomal RNA (164 nucleotides) under uncultured bacterium. RNAcentral's name for it is "partial 16S ribosomal RNA". It matches the Rfam family "Bacterial small subunit ribosomal RNA", at positions 355 to 511 of the family's 1533-position model. The record is from RNAcentral.